RNAcentral lists this ribosomal RNA (1437 nucleotides) under uncultured organism. RNAcentral's name for it is "SSU rRNA". It matches the Rfam family "Bacterial small subunit ribosomal RNA". The record is from RNAcentral.
GGCUUAACACAUGCAAGUCGAGGGGCAGCAUGGUCUUAGCUUGCUAAGACUGAUGGCGACCGGCGCACGGGUGAGUAACACGUAUCCAACCUGCCGUCUACUCUUGGACAGCCUUCUGAAAGGAAGAUUAAUACAAGAUGGCAUCAUGAGUCCGCAUGUUCACAUGAUUAAAGGUAUUCCGGUAGACGAUGGGGAUGCGUUCCAUUAGAUAGUAGGCGGGGUAACGGCCCACCUAGUCUUCGAUGGAUAGGGGUUCUGAGAGGAAGGUCCACCACAUUGGAACUGAGACACGGUCCAAACUCCUACGGGAGGCAGCAGUGAGGAAUAUUGGUCAAUGGGCGAGAGCCUGAACCAGCCAAGUAGCGUGAAGGAUGACUGCCCUAUGGGUUGUAAACUUCUUUUAUAAAGGAAUAAAGUCGGGUAUGCAUACCCGUUUGCAUGUACUUUAUGAAUAAGGAUCGGCUAACUCCGUGCCAGCAGCCGCGGUAAUACGGAGGAUCCGAGCGUUAUCCGGAUUUAUUGGGUUUAAAGGGAGCGUAGAUGGAUGUUUAAGUCAGUUGUGAAAGUUUGCGGCUCAACCGUAAAAUUGCAGUUGAUACUGGAUAUCUUGAGUGCAGUUGAGGCAGGCGGAAUUCGUGGUGUAGCGGUGAAAUGCUUAGAUAUCACGAAGAACUCCGAUUGCGAAGGCAGCCUGCUAAGCUGCAACUGACAUUGAGGCUCGAAAGUGUGGGUAUCAAACAGGAUUAGAUACCCUGGUAGUCCACACGGUAAACGAUGAAUACUCGCUGUUUGCGAUAUACGGCAAGCGGCCAAGCGAAAGCGUUAAGUAUUCCACCUGGGGAGUACGCCGGCAACGGUGAAACUCAAAGGAAUUGACGGGGGCCCGCACAAGCGGAGGAACAUGUAGUUUAAUUCGAUGAUACGCGAGGAACCUUACCCGGGCUUAAAUUGCAGAUGAAUUACGGUGAAAGCCGUAAGCCGCAAGGCAUCUGUGAAGGUGCUGCAUGGUUGUCGUCAGCUCGUGCCGUGAGGUGUCGGCUUAAGUGCCAUAACGAGCGCAACCCUUGUUGUCAGUUACUAACAGGUUCCGCUGAGGACUCUGACAAGACUGCCAUCGUAAGAUGUGAGGAAGGUGGGGAUGACGUCAAAUCAGCACGGCCCUUACGUCCGGGGCUACACACGUGUUACAAUGGGGGGUACAGAGGGCCGCUACCACGCGAGUGGAUGCCAAUCCCAAAAACCUCUCUCAGUUCGGACUGGAGUCUGCAACCCGACUCCACGAAGCUGGAUUCGCUAGUAAUCGCGCAUCAACCACGGCGCGGUGAAUACGUUCCCGGGCCUUGUACACACCGCCCGUCAAGCCAUGGGAGCCGGGGGUACCUGAAGUGCGUAACCGCGAGGAGCGCCCUAGGGUAAAACUGGUGACUGGGGCUAAGU